This is an unclassified non-coding RNA of 267 nucleotides. The stretch from base 1 to 53 matches the Rfam family "5.8S ribosomal RNA", at positions 102 to 154 of the family's 154-position model.
GAACGCACAUUGCGCCCGCGAGUAUUCUCGCGGGCAUGCCUGUCCGAGCGUCAUUUCAACCCUCAGGGCCCGCCUGCUUCGGCAGGCGCGGCGCUGGUGUUGGGGAUCGGCUUCACUGCCGUCCCCCAAAUACAGUGGCGGUCUCGCUGCAGCCUCCCCUGCGUAGUAGCAACACUCGCAUGCGGAGCGCGGCGCGGCCACGCCGUAAAACCCCCGACUUUCUGAACGUUGACCUCGGAUCAGGUAGGAAUACCCGCUGAACUUAAG